GAGUAAAGCGGCGCACGGGUGAGUAACACGUGGGUAACCUACCCUCGAGUGGGGGAUAACCUGGGGAAACCCGGGCUAAUACCGCAUAACAUCUUCUGGACUGCGGUUCGGGAGAUCAAAGGAGCAAUCCGCUUGUGGAGGGGCCCGCGGCCGAUUAGCUAGUUGGUGAGGUAACGGCCCACCAAGGCAAAGAUCGGUAGCCGGUCUGAGAGGACGCACGGCCACACUGGAACUGAGACACGGUCCAGACUCCUACGGGAGGCAGCAGUGGGGAAUCUUGCACAAUGGCCGAAAGGCUGAUGCAGCGACGCCGCGUGAGUGAUGAAGCCCUUCGGGGUGUAAAGCUCUUUCGGCGGGGACGAUAAUGACGGUACCCGCAGAAGAAGCCCCGGCAAACUACGUGCCAGCAGCCGCGGUAAUACGUAGGGGGCCAGCGUUGUUCGGAAUUACUGGGCGUAAAGAGCGCGUAGGCGGUGCGAUUAGUCUGGUGUUAAAUCUCCCGGCUCAACUGGGAGCUGUCGCCGGAAACGGUCGUGCUGGAGUG
RNAcentral lists this ribosomal RNA (544 nucleotides) under uncultured bacterium. RNAcentral's name for it is "bacterial SSU rRNA". It matches the Rfam family "Bacterial small subunit ribosomal RNA", at positions 88 to 648 of the family's 1533-position model. The record is from RNAcentral.